GUAGGGAAUAUUGGUCAAUGGACGAAAGUCUGAACCAGCCAUUCCGCGUGCAGGAAGAAGAUUCUAUGGAUUGUAAACUGCUUUUAGCAGAGAAGAAACGCCUUCAUUGAUGAGGGUUUGACGGUAUCUGCGGAAUAAGCACCGGCUAACUCCGUGCCAGCAGCCGCGGUAAUACGGGGGGUGCAAGCGUUAUCCGGAAUCACUGGGUUUAAAGGGUGCGUAGGCGGGAAAUUAAGUCAGUGGUGAAAGUCUGUUGCUUAACGAUAGAAUUGCCGUUGAUACUGAUGUUCUUGAAUUGGGUUGAGGUUAGCGGAAUGUGACAUGUAGCGGUGAAAUGCAUAGAUAUGUCAUGGAACACCAAUUGCGAAGGCAGCUAGCUGGGCCUUGAUUGACGCUGAGGCACGAAAGCGUGGGUAGCGAACAGGAUUAGAUACCCCGGUAGUCC
Molecule: ribosomal RNA, 445 nt
Filed under: uncultured bacterium
Lineage: Bacteria
Description: partial 16S ribosomal RNA
Rfam family: Bacterial small subunit ribosomal RNA
Source: RNAcentral